This 253-nucleotide ribosomal RNA is filed under the name uncultured bacterium. RNAcentral describes it as "partial 16S ribosomal RNA". It matches the Rfam family "Bacterial small subunit ribosomal RNA", at positions 524 to 776 of the family's 1533-position model. The record is from RNAcentral.
UACGUAGGGUGCGAGCGUUGUCCGGAAUUAUUGGGCGUAAAGAGCUCGUAGGCGGUGUGUCGCGUCGGCCGUGAAAACCUGCAGCUUAACUGUGGGCGUGCGGGCGAUACGGGCAGACUGGAGUACUGCAGGGGAGACUGGAAUUCCUGGUGUAGCGGUGGAAUGCGCAGAUAUCAGGAGGAACACCGGUGGCGAAGGCGGAUCUCUGGGCAGUAACUGACGCUGAGGAGCGAAAGCGUGGGGAGCAAACAGG